CCUACGGGUGGCAGCAGUAGGGAAUCUUUCACAAUGGGCGCAAGCCUGAUGGAGCAACGUCGCGUGCAGGAUGAAGGCCCUCGGGUUGUUAACUGCCUUUAUAAGCGAGAAAUAUGAUGGUAACUUAUGAAUAAGGAUCGGCUACCUACGUGCCAGCAGCCGCGGUCAUACGUAGGAUCCGAGCAUUAUCCGGAGUGACUGGGUGUAAAGAGUUGCGUAGGUGGGAUAAUAAGUAGCUAGUGAAAUCUGGUGGCUCAACCAUUCAGACUAUUAGCUAAACUGUUCAGCUCGAGACCGUGAGGGGUAAGUGGAAUGUGUAGUGUAGGAGUGAAAUCAGUAGAUAUUAGAAAGAACACCGAUAGCGUAGGCAGGUUACUGGGACGGUUCUGACACUAAGGCACGAAAGCGUAGGGAGCGAACGGGAUUAGAUACCCCUGUAGUC
RNAcentral lists this ribosomal RNA (442 nucleotides) under uncultured bacterium. Its description in RNAcentral is "partial 16S ribosomal RNA". It matches the Rfam family "Bacterial small subunit ribosomal RNA", at positions 338 to 795 of the family's 1533-position model. The record is from RNAcentral.